UGGGGAAUUUUGGACAAUGGGCGCAAGCCUGAUCCAGCCAUGCCGCGUGCAGGAUGAAGGCCUUCGGGUUGUAAACUGCUUUUGUACGGAACGAAAAGGUUUGGCCUAAUAAGCUGAGCUCAUGACGGUACCGUAAGAAUAAGCACCGGCUAACUACAUGCCAGCAGCCGCGGUAAUACGUAGGGUGCGAGCGUUAAUCGGAAUUACUGGGCGUAAAGCGUGCGCAGGCGGUUAUGUAAGACAGAUGUGAAAUCCCCGGGCUCAACCUGGGAACUGCAUUUGUGACUGCAUGGCUAGAGUACGGUAGAGGGGGAUGGAAUUCCGCGUGUAGCAGUGAAAUGCGUAGAUAUGCGGAGGAACACCGAUGGCGAAGGCAGCCAUCUGGCCUAAUACUGACGCUGAGGUUCGAAAGCAAGGGGAGCAAACA
RNAcentral lists this ribosomal RNA (427 nucleotides) under uncultured bacterium. RNAcentral describes it as "bacterial SSU rRNA". It matches the Rfam family "Bacterial small subunit ribosomal RNA", at positions 355 to 774 of the family's 1533-position model. The record is from RNAcentral.